AACGAACGCUGGCGGCAGGCUUAACACAUGCAAGUCGAACGCAUGCCUUCGGGCAUGAGUGGCAGACGGGUGAGUAACGCGUGGGAACCUACCCCUUGGUACGGGAUAGCUCCGGGAAACUGGAGAUAAUACCGUAUGUGUCCUGAGGGACAAAGAUUCAUCGCAAAGGGAUGGGCCCGCGUCGGAUUAGCUAGUUGGUGGGGUAACGGCCUACCAAGGCGACGAUCCGUAGCUGGUCUAAGAGGAUGAUCAGCCACAUUGGGACUGAGACACGGCCCAAACUCCUACGGGAGGCAGCAGUGGGGAAUAUUGGACAAUGGGCGCAAGCCUGAUCCAGCCAUGCCGCGUGAGUGAUGAAGGCCCUAGGGUUGUAAAGCUCUUUCACCGGUGACGAUAAUGACGGUAACCGGAGAAGAAGCCCCGGCUAACUUCGUG
This 435-nucleotide ribosomal RNA is filed under the name uncultured bacterium. RNAcentral's name for it is "partial 16S ribosomal RNA". It matches the Rfam family "Bacterial small subunit ribosomal RNA", at positions 29 to 507 of the family's 1533-position model. The record is from RNAcentral.